RNAcentral lists this ribosomal RNA (1223 nucleotides) under metagenome. Its description in RNAcentral is "SSU rRNA". It matches the Rfam family "Eukaryotic small subunit ribosomal RNA", at positions 1 to 1306 of the family's 1831-position model. The record is from RNAcentral.
ACUGGUUGAUCCUGCCAGUAGCAUAUGCUUGACUUGGAGACUAAGCCAUGCAUGUCUAAGUAUAAGUUAUAUACAGCAAAACUGCGAAUGGCUCAUUAAAACAGUUAUAAUUUCUUUGGUGAUUUUAUUACAUGGAUAACCGUGGGAAACUAGGGCUAAUACAUGCAUAAAGGCCGCAAGGCUGUAUUUAUUAGUCUUAAACCAAUAUGGGUCAACCAUAUUAGAGGAAUCAUAAUAACUUAUCGAAGCGCAGUAAAAUGUGCUACACCAUAUAAGUUUCUGCCCUAUCAGCUCUCGAUGGUAGUGUAUUGGACUACCAUGGCUAUCACGGGUAGCGGGGAAUUGGGGUUCGAUUCCGGAGAGGGAGCCUGAGAAACGGCUACCAUUUCUAAGGAAGGCAGCAGGCGCGUAAAUUACCCAAUCCUGACUCAGGGAGGUAGUUAAUAGAAAUAACAUACUCGGUCCUUCGGGACUCUGAGAAUGUAAUGAGGGCAGCUUAAAACACUGUUCGAAUCCUAUUGGAGGGCAAGUCUGGUGCCAGCAGCCGCGGUAAUUCCAGCUCCGAUAGCGUAUGUUAAUGUUGUUGCAGUUAAAACGCUCGUAGUUGAAACUCCGGCGAGUUCUACUCGUCUGCCUGCAAAAACUGACGAUGAAGAAAUGAUUUGUCUUUUGGAGCAGGCUUUCACCAUGAACAAAAUAGAGUGCUCAAGGCAGGCUAUUGCUUGAAUAAUUCAGCAUGGAAUAUAAAAUAGGACUUUAUCCAUUUUAUUGGUUAUCGGGUAAAGUAAUGAUUAACAGAAACAGUUGGGGGCAUCAGUACUUAAUAGUCAGAGGUGAAAUUCUAUGAUUUAUUAAAGACUAACUAAUGCGAAAGCAUUUGCCAAGGAUGUUUUCAUUAAUCAAGAACGAAAGUUAGGGGAUCAAAGACGAUUAGAUACCGUCGUAGUCCUAACCAUAAACUAUGCCGACUAGGGAUUGGUGAGGAAAACCCUCAUCAGCACCUAAUGAGAAAUCAAAGUCUUUGGGCUCUGGGGGGAGUAUGGUCGCAAGGCUGAAACUUAAAGGAAUAGACGGAAAGGCACACCAGGAGUGGAGUCUGCGGCUUAAUUUGAUUCAACACGGGAAAACUUACCAGGGCAAGAAAAAACUGAUAGGAUUGACAGUUUGAUAGCGCUUUCUUGAUCCGGUAGCAAGUGGUGCAUGGCCGUUCUUAGUUGGUGGAG